This 779-nucleotide ribosomal RNA is filed under the name Rhodotorula mucilaginosa. RNAcentral's name for it is "eukaryotic LSU rRNA". The stretch from base 193 to 779 matches the Rfam family "Eukaryotic large subunit ribosomal RNA", at positions 1 to 584 of the family's 3401-position model. Lineage: Eukaryota; Fungi; Basidiomycota; Microbotryomycetes; Sporidiobolales; Sporidiobolaceae. The record is from RNAcentral.
AUUGAAGAGGUGUUUGGUUUCUGAGCGCUGCUGGCCUUUACGGUCUAGCUCGUUCGUAAUGCAUUAGCAUCCGCAAUCGAACUUCGGAUUGACUUGGCGUAAUAGACUAUUCGCUGAGGAAUUCUAGUCUUCGGAUUAGAGCCGGGUUGGGUUAAAGGAAGCUUCUAAUCAGAAUGUCUACAUUUUAAGAUUAGAUCUCAAAUCAGGUAGGACUACCCGCUGAACUUAAGCAUAUCAAUAAGCGGAGGAAAAGAAACUAACAAGGAUUCCCCUAGUAGCGGCGAGCGAAGCGGGAAGAGCUCAAAUUUAUAAUCUGGCACCUUCGGUGUCCGAGUUGUAAUCUCUAGAAAUGUUUUCCGCGUUGGACCGCACACAAGUCUGUUGGAAUACAGCGGCAUAGUGGUGAGACCCCCGUAUAUGGUGCGGACGCCCAGCGCUUUGUGAUACAUUUUCGAAGAGUCGAGUUGUUUGGGAAUGCAGCUCAAAUUGGGUGGUAAAUUCCAUCUAAAGCUAAAUAUUGGCGAGAGACCGAUAGCGAACAAGUACCGUGAGGGAAAGAUGAAAAGCACUUUGGAAAGAGAGUUAACAGUACGUGAAAUUGUUGGAAGGGAAACGCUUGAAGUCAGACUUGCUUGCUGAGCAAUCGGUUUGCAGGCCAGCAUCAGUUUUCCGGGAUGGAUAAUGGUAGAGAGAAGGUAGCAGUUUCGGCUGUGUUAUAGCUCUCUGCUGGAUACAUCUUGGGGGACUGAGGAACGCAGUGUGCCUUUGGCGGGGGUUUC